CGGGCGGCGUGGAUUAGGCAUGCAAGUCGAACGUGAAAGUACCGACGUAGCAAUACGAAGGUGCGAGUAAAGUGGCGAACGGGUGAGUAACGCGUGGGAAACCUGCUCCAGAGUGGGGGAUAACAGUUCUAACGGACUGCUAAUACCGCAUGAUGCUACGGGUCGAUGACUUCGUAGUUGAAGGAGGCCUCUGUUUCAAGCUUUCGCUCCGGAAUGGUCCCGCGUCCUAUUAGCUUGUUGGUGGGGUAACGGCCUACCAAGGCAACGAUGGGUAGCCGGCCUGAGAGGGUGGUCGGCCACACUGGGACUGAGAUACGGCCCAGACUCCUACGGGAGGCAGCAGUCGAGAGGCUUCGGCAAUGGGGGAAACCCUGACCGAGCGACGCCGCGUGGGUGAUGAAGUUUCUCGGAACGUAAAACCCUGUCAGGUGGGAUGAAAUACCAUUCGGUUAACACCCGAGUGGCUUGACAGUACCACCAGAGGAAGCUCCGGCUAACUCCGUGCCAGCAGCCGCGGUAACACGGGGGGAGCAAGCGUUGUUCGGAUUCAUUGGGCGUAAAGAGCCCGUAGGUGGCUCUGUAAGUCGGAGGUGAAAGACCACGGCUCAACCGUGGAAACGCCUUCGAAACUGUGGAGCUUGAGGCUGGGAGAGGAAAUCGGAAUUCCUGGUGUAGCGGUGAAAUGCGUAGAUAUCAGGAGGAACACCGGUGGCGAAGGCGGAUUUCUGGACCAGUUCUGACACUGAGGAGCGAAAGCCAGGGGAGCAAACAGGAUUAGAUACCCUGGUAGUCC
This 793-nucleotide ribosomal RNA is filed under the name uncultured bacterium. Its description in RNAcentral is "bacterial SSU rRNA". It matches the Rfam family "Bacterial small subunit ribosomal RNA", at positions 36 to 796 of the family's 1533-position model. The record is from RNAcentral.